UGGCUGUGAUGACUUCUUAGGACACCUUUGGAUUAAAGAUGAAAAGAACUGAAUGAAGAAACUGAGCUGC
This is a small nucleolar RNA of Melanotaenia boesemani (Boeseman's rainbowfish), 70 nucleotides long. RefSeq annotates it as small nucleolar RNA SNORD58. The record is from RefSeq and is a predicted model, not a curated record. The transcript has a single exon. Lineage: Eukaryota; Metazoa; Chordata; Actinopteri; Atheriniformes; Melanotaeniidae.